AAUAGCCCUGAGGCAAUAGGGCUACAAUAUGUGGAUGAAUUUCUCCUCUGUGCUGAGACAGAGCAAGCUUGUUUUCAAGCCUCAGAAGACUUCCUAAACUUUCCAGCUGGCUGUGGUUACAAGGCAUCAAAGGAGAAAGCUCAGCUUUGUCAACAGUCAGUUAAAUAUCUGGGCCUCAUCAUCUCAG
Molecule: long non-coding RNA, 187 nt
Organism: Cervus elaphus (red deer)
Lineage: Eukaryota; Metazoa; Chordata; Mammalia; Artiodactyla; Cervidae
Exons: 3
Source: RefSeq, a predicted model, not a curated record